This 295-nucleotide unclassified non-coding RNA is filed under the name Hevea brasiliensis (rubber tree). The record is from RNAcentral. Lineage: Eukaryota; Viridiplantae; Streptophyta; Magnoliopsida; Malpighiales; Euphorbiaceae.
GAAUACUAUAAGGUUGUGCCUGGAGUGGGCAUUUGCUUCAUGACAUAUGAGACGCUGAAAAGCCUACUAGCAGAUGCAAAUUCCAGAUUGUAGUUGAAGAAAAGCUUUUGGUGAAAUGACUUGUGGAUGGAAAUGAGAUUUUGUGGCAAAACAAAUAACAAAGCGAUUUUGUUGGUGGGAAUUCUCAAUAGUUUUGUACUUCAGACAGAUUGUAAGAUAUAACAUUUUUCCAUGUAUAGAUAUCUAAAGGUGUUCUUCAGUGGGUCACAAAAAUAUAAAAUAUGUAGCCAAAAAC